This 3234-nucleotide long non-coding RNA is filed under the name Citrus sinensis (sweet orange). RNAcentral describes it as "long non-coding RNA (CSIN_LNC003283)". Lineage: Eukaryota; Viridiplantae; Streptophyta; Magnoliopsida; Sapindales; Rutaceae. The record is from RNAcentral.
CCGUCACUUCUACGGAGGGUUUUACUGAAGUCACUCCUCGGAAAGGCUUCAAGAUGAACCGCAGACGCCGCCGCUAUUGAUUUUAUAUUUUCAUUGUACUUUUCUUUUUUUCUGUUUGUUGUUUUCAUUUUGCUCUGGAGGUUUGGUUCAUGUCCCCCUCCAGUAUUUGUAUUAUGUUUUUUGUUUUAUCUACUGGUAGGGGUCCCGCCUAACCCCCCACCUCCGGGUGGAUUUCAAUAAAAAAAAAAAACCCUAAACCCUAAACCCUAAACCCUAAACCCUAAACCCUAAACCCUAAACCCUAAACCCUAAACCCUAAACCCUAAACCCUAAACCCUAAACCCUAAACCCUAAACCCUAAACCCUAAACCCUAAACCCUAAACCCUAAACCCUAAACCCUAAACCCUAAACCCUAAACCCUAAACCCUAAACCCUAAACCCUAAACCCUAAACCCUAAACCCUAAACCCUAAACCCUAAACCCUAAACCCUAAACCCUAAACCCUAAACCCUAAACCCUAAACCCUAAACCCUAAACCCUAAACCCUAAACCCUAAACCCUAAACCCUAAACCCUAAACCCUAAACCCUAAACCCUAAACCCUAAACCCUAAACCCUAAACCCUAAACCCUAAACCCUAAACCCUAAACCCUAAACCCUAAACCCUAAACCCUAAACCCUAAACCCUAAACCCUAAACCCUAAACCCUAAACCCUAAACCCUAAACCCUAAACCCUAAACCCUACUCUCCAGCCUCUCUACGAAACAAAAACAAACUUUUUCAUCAACGCAACAACAAUGCUGAAUCACUUCUUAGAAAACGUUUCCUCAUACGACGGCAACGUUCUGCUUGCAGCAAUUGUAUCACUACUCCUAGUAAUCCUCUUCGUUUUGCUUCUCCACAUCUAUGCAAAAUGGUUCUUAGCACAAGCCCGGCAAAGAAGAUCAAGAAGCUCCAUGUCUGUGUCCCAUGUCCUGCUCCCUGCUCGCUUUCACCAUUUCCAUUCAUUCACAUUCGACGUCGACAACAAUGCCAAUAACAACAUUAAUAAUACCACUAUAUCGAGCUCUUCUUCAAAGGGUCUUGACGCUUCGUUGAUUGCUUCAAUUCCAUUGUUUGUUUACACUUCAAGUGAGUACAAGCAAGGCUUGGAAUGUGUCAUUUGUUUGAGUGCUUUUGAAGAGAGUGAUGUCGGCAGGAGCUUACCAAAAUGUGGACAUGGCUUUCAUGUUGAGUGUAUUGAUAUGUGGUUGCAUUCCCACUUGAAUUGCCCCGUUUGCAGAGCCCCUGUUGCGGGUGAAAAGAAAGUUGAAAAUCUUGAUUCGACGGAGAAUAAUGAGGGCAAUUCCAUUGAAGCCGUAGCAAAUUCAGAAUUGUUGCAGGUUGUUGUUGAAGGGGAGCCAAGACUGGAGAGAGUGAGUGAUGCAUCAAAUUGUGAUCAUGAAGUAGUGGGAAUAACCGACUCUAUAUCAGCUUCUGCUUCUUCUUCAUUGGGGUGUUCUUUGAAAAGAAUGUUGAGUAGGAACAGAUCUGAGUGCAAGAUUUUUCCAUCAUCGACUACCAUUAAUGUCAACGAAACCGAAGACUGAACAGUGAAAGUUAAUUAAAGGGAAACUUUGUACAGAUUUGUAGUAAAAUUGUGUGUAUUGUAUCAUCUUUCUUUAAGUCUCUGAUGAUAGUUAAUUCGUUUGCAUGCAUUCUUGAUCUUAUCUUGACUGUUUUUAAGGCAUGUGGGUGAGAUUAAAAUUUAUGCUGCACUUCUUUGAGAUAAGUAAACAGUAAUCUAAAUCCUUAAUUAUUAAAAAAAAAAAAAAAAAAAAAAAAAAAAAAAAACCAAAAAAAAAAAAAAAAAAAAAAAAAAAAAAAAAAAAAAAAAAAAAAAAAAAAAAAAAAAAAAAAAAAAAAAAAAAAAAAAAAAAAAAAAAAAAAAAAAAAAAAAAAAAAAAAAAAAAAAAAAAAAAAAAAAAAAAAAAAAAAAAAAAAAAAAAAAAAAAAAAAAAAAAAAAAAAAAAAAAAAAAAAAAAAAAAAAAAAAAAAAAAAAAAAAAAAAAAAAAAAAAAAAAAAAAAAAAAAAAAAAAAAAAAAAAAAAAAAAAAAAAAAAAAAAAAAAAAAAAAAAAAAAAAAAAAAAAAAAAAAAAAAAAAAAAAAAAAAAAAAAAAAAAAAAAAAAAAAAAAAAAAAAAAAAAAAAAAAAAAAAAAAAAAAAAAAAAAAAAAAAAAAAAAAAAAAAAAAAAAAAAAAAAAAAAAAAAAAAAAAAAAAAAAAAAAAAAAAAAAAAAAAAAAAAAAAAAAAAAAAAAAAAAAAAAAAAAAAAAAAAAACCCCUAAACCCUAAACCCUAAACCCAAUAAACCCAAAACCCUAAACUCUAAACCCUAACACCCUAAACCCUAACACCCUAAAAACCCUAACACCCUAAACCCUAACACCCUAACACCCUAACACCCUAAAUCCUAACACGCUAACACCCUAACACCCUAACACCCUAAACCCUAACACCCUAACACCCUAAACCCUAAAACCCUAAACCCUAAACCCAAACCCUAAACCAUAAACCCUAAACCCUAAACCCUCAACCCUGAACCCUGAACCCAAAUCUCUGAACCCAAAUCCCUGAACCCCGAACCCUGAACCCCGAACCCUCAACCCUACACCCUACACCCUACACCGUACAACCUAAACCCUAAACCCUAAACCCCUAAAACCUUAACCCUAAAACCUUAAACCCUAAACCCUAUAAAUCCUAAACCCUAUAAACCCUAAACCCUAAAACCCUAAACCCUAAACCCUACAAACCCUCAAUCCAUAACCCUAAUACCCUAAACCCUUAAUCCUAAACCCUCAACCCUUAAUCCUAAACCCUAAACCCUCAACCCUCAACCCUCAACCAUCAACCCUAAACCCUAAACCCUCAACCCUCAACCCUCAACCCUCAACCCUCAACCCUAAACCCUUAAAUCCUAAACCCUAAACCCUAAAACCCUAAACCCUUAAACCCUAAACCCUUAACCCUCAACCCUCAACCCUCAACCCUCAACCCUCAACCCCUAAACCCUAACCCCUAACCCCUAACCCCUAACCCCUAACCCCUAAACCCUAAACCCUAAACCCUAAACCCUAAACCCUAAACCCUAAACCCUAAACCCUAAACCCUAAACCCUAAACCCUAAACCCUAAACCCUAAACCCUAAACCCUAAACCCUAAACCCUAAACCCUAAACCCUAAACCCUAAA